CCUACGGGCGGCAGCAGUGGGGAAUAUUGGACAAUGGGGGCAACCCUGAUCCAGCCAUGCCGCGUGUGUGAAGAAGGCCCUCGGGUUGUAAAGCACUUUCAGUGAGGAAGAACGCCUGGUGGUUAAUACCCAUCAGGAAAGACAUCACUCACAGAAGAAGCACCGGCUAACUCCGUGCCAGCAGCCGCGGUAAUACGGAGGGUGCGAGCGUUAAUCGGAAUUACUGGGCGUAAAGCGCGCGUAGGUGGCUUGAUAAGCCGGUUGUGAAAGCCCCGGGCUCAACCUGGGAACGGCAUCCGGAACUGUCAAGCUAGAGUGCAGGAGAGGAAGGUAGAAUUCCCGGUGUAGCGGUGAAAUGCGUAGAGAUCGGGAGGAAUACCAGUGGCGAAGGCGGCCUUCUGGACUGACACUGACACUGAGGUGCGAAAGCGUGGGUAGCAAGCAGGAUAGAUACCCUUGUAGUC
This 464-nucleotide ribosomal RNA is filed under the name Vreelandella stevensii. RNAcentral's name for it is "partial 16S ribosomal RNA". It matches the Rfam family "Bacterial small subunit ribosomal RNA", at positions 338 to 795 of the family's 1533-position model. The record is from RNAcentral. Lineage: Bacteria; Pseudomonadati; Pseudomonadota; Gammaproteobacteria; Oceanospirillales; Halomonadaceae.